Oncorhynchus tshawytscha (Chinook salmon) is the source of this 514-nucleotide long non-coding RNA. The record is from Ensembl. NCBI's taxonomy places the organism in Eukaryota, Metazoa, Chordata, Actinopteri, Salmoniformes, Salmonidae.
GAAAGACCAGUGUGAAGGCCAACUUACAGAAGAGGAACUUUGAGGCAUGUUUAAUUCUGCAACCAAGAAGUAACCAAGUAUUGCACUCACCAAUCAAACCGAGAUGCCAGUGCAACCAAGAAGUUACCAAGAAUUAAUCAAUGAGGAUAUAGCUAUGGCGGGACCUUUAAACACUAGAAGAGGACCAUGGAAAAAUACAUUUCCUCAUCAGACAUGGAGCCCAGGUUCAGAAAACUGACAUAUCGAAGCCUUGUCUUAACAGACAAUAAGGAUUCCAGGAUUUACAGGACAAAAACUACUAAAAGAGCAGGGCUGGGCUGUACUGCUCAGAGGUGGCAACCCAGUAAGCUAGGCACAUUUGCUGGGUCAGCAUGAGAUGCAGUUGGGCCUUUAUAAGGAGCAGUCCUUCAAGUGGGUGGUUAAAAAUGUGCUGGGCUGGGUAUUUGGUGGCAUCAAUGCACAAAGAAUCUGCCUCUCAGCAAGUUUGGAGUAAUUUCAAAAACCAUGCUAUGAA